UACGUAGGGUGCAAGCGUUACUCGGAAUUACUGGGCGUAAAGCGUGCGCAGGCGGUUUUGUAAGUCUGUCGUGAAAUCCCCGGGCUUAACCUGGGAAUUGCGAUGGAGACUGCAAGGCUAGAGUUUGGCAGAGGGGGGUGGAAUUCCGCGUGUAGCAGUGAAAUGCGUAGAGAUGCGGAGGAACACCGAUGGCGAAGGCAGCCCCCUGGGCUGACACUGACGCUCAGGCACGAAAGCGUGGGGAGCAAACAGG
This 253-nucleotide ribosomal RNA is filed under the name uncultured bacterium. RNAcentral's name for it is "partial 16S ribosomal RNA". It matches the Rfam family "Bacterial small subunit ribosomal RNA", at positions 524 to 776 of the family's 1533-position model. The record is from RNAcentral.